GACGAACGCUGGCGGCGUGCUUAGCACAUGCAAGUCGAACGGAAAGGCCCUGCUUUUGUGGGGUGCUCGAGUGGCGAACGGGUGAGUAACACGUGAGUAACCUGCCCUUGACUUUGGGAUAACUUCAGGAAACUGGGGCUAAUACCGGAUAGGAGCUCCUGCUGCAUGGUGGGGGUUGGAAAGUUUCGGCGGUUGGGGAUGGACUCGCGGCUUAUCAGCUUGUUGGUGGGGUAGUGGCUUACCAAGGCUUUGACGGGUAGCCGGCCUGAGAGGGUGACCGGCCACAUUGGGACUGAGAUACGGCGCAGACUCCUACGGGAGGCAGCAGUGGGGAAUAUUGCACAAUGGGCGGAAGCCUGAUGCAGCAACGCCGCGUGCGUGAUGACGGCCUUCGGGUUGUAAACCGCUUUCGCCUGUGCCGAAGCGUGAGUGACGGUAAUGGGUAAAGAAGCACCGGCUAACUACGUG
Molecule: ribosomal RNA, 468 nt
Filed under: uncultured bacterium
Lineage: Bacteria
Description: partial 16S ribosomal RNA
Rfam family: Bacterial small subunit ribosomal RNA
Source: RNAcentral